Molecule: ribosomal RNA, 533 nt
Filed under: Astyanax sp. LGC1365
Lineage: Eukaryota; Metazoa; Chordata; Actinopteri; Characiformes; Acestrorhamphidae
Description: partial small subunit ribosomal RNA
Rfam family: Bacterial small subunit ribosomal RNA
Source: RNAcentral
UAAAGUCAAAUGACCUUUAGGCCGUUGCACGUAUUCUGAGAACAUGAAGCCCCGCUACGAAAGUAACUUUAUUACCUCCGACCCCACGAAAGCUAAGAAACAAACUGGGAUUAGAUACCCCACUAUGCUUAGCCCUAAACCUAGAUAUUUAUUCUACAAAAAAUAUCCGCCAGGGGACUACGAGCGCUAGCUUAAAACCCAAAGGACUUGACGGUGUCUCAGACCCACCUAGAGGAGCCUGUUCUAGAACCGAUAAUCCACGUUUAACCUCACCACCCCUUGUUUUCCCCGCCUAUAUACCGCCGUCGCAAGCUUACCCUGUGAAGGACAAACAGUAAGCAGGAUGGGUAUACCCCAGAACGUCAGGUCGAGGUGUAGCUUACGAGGUGGGAAGAAAUGGGCUACAUUUUCUGCAUCAGAAUAUACGAAUGGCAUUAUGAAACUUAAUGCCUGAAGGUGGAUUUAGUAGUAAAAAUCAAAUAGAGAGUCAUUUUGAAUUAGGCUCUGAGACGCGCACACACCGCCCGUCGCCC